CAACGUGGGACUUGCAGCAUAUUUCCGUCCUAGGCUCAUGAAUGUGCUGGAGAGGAAAAAGGAUCUGCAGGCCCAUGCAGCAUCAAUCAGCCAAACACGGUGCAGAUGAAAUUGUGAGGUAGAGUCACGUCUGAUGAGGUGUCUCCAACUAUUGGGAACAUUGGGAGCAAUGAACACUGGAAAAUGGAAGAAGGCUGUAUUACCUCAACUACACAGGGAGAGAGAGAGAUGGAUAGAGAGGGCACACUAACCCAGUUAAUGGAUAGCAAUCUGAUAAAAGAAAUGCUAAGGUCAGUCUUCCACAAUUCCUGCUUUUCCCAGAGUGGAU
Molecule: long non-coding RNA, 328 nt
Filed under: Anser brachyrhynchus (Pink-footed goose)
Lineage: Eukaryota; Metazoa; Chordata; Aves; Anseriformes; Anatidae
Description: lncRNA (ENSABRG00000012381.1)
Source: RNAcentral